UGCAGAGGUGGCAAGAAGAUGGUGGUGUUAUGAUCAUAGGCUAUGAGAUGUAUAGAAAUCUUGCUCAAGGAAGGAAUGUGAAGAGUCGGAAACUUAAAGAAAUAUUUAACAAAGCUUUGGUUGAUCCAGGCCCUGAUUUUGUUGUUUGUGAUGAAGGCCAUAUUCUAAAAAAUGAAGCAUCUGCUGUUUCUAAAGCUAUGAAUUCUAUACGAUCAAGGAGGAGGAUUAUUUUAACAGGAACACCACUUCAAAAUAACCUAAUUGAGUAUCAUUGUAUGGUUAAUUUUAUCAAGGAAAAUUUACUUGGAUCCAUUAAGGAGUUCAGGAAUAGAUUUAUAAAUCCAAUUCAAAAUGGUCAGUGUGCAGAUUCUACCAUGGUAGAUGUCAGAGUGAUGAAAAAACGUGCUCACAUUCUCUAUGAGAUGUUAGCUGGAUGUGUUCAGAGGAAAGAUUAUACAGCAUUAACAAAAUUCUUGCCUCCAAAACACGAAUAUGUGUUAGCUGUGAGAAUGACUUCUAUUCAGUGCAAGCUCUAUCAGUACUACUUAGAUCACUUAACAGGUGUGGGCAAUAAUAGUGAAGGUGGAAGAGGAAAGGCAGGUGCAAAGCUUUUCCAAGAUUUUCAGAUGUUAAGUAGAAUAUGGACUCAUCCUUGGUGUUUGCAGCUAGACUACAUUAGCAAAGAAAAUAAGGUAAGGUUAUUUUGAUGAAGACAGUAUGGAUGAAUUUAUAGCCUCAGAUUCUGAUGAAACCUCCAUGAGUUUAAGCUCCGAUGAUUAUACAAA
This 785-nucleotide long non-coding RNA is filed under the name Homo sapiens (human). Its description in RNAcentral is "long non-coding RNA NONHSAT223441.1". The record is from RNAcentral. Lineage: Eukaryota; Metazoa; Chordata; Mammalia; Primates; Hominidae.